Molecule: non-coding RNA, 251 nt
Organism: Castor canadensis (American beaver)
Lineage: Eukaryota; Metazoa; Chordata; Mammalia; Rodentia; Castoridae
Source: RefSeq, a predicted model, not a curated record
GGAGAGAACUGGGCAGAAGAUAACCAGGAAUUCUAACCCCAGGCUCAGAUCUGAGGUCUAGAAAGGACCAUGGGGAGAUGAGAGAAGGCCCAUGUCUGCCCUCUUCCUGCACAGCCCUCCUGCCCAGACACAGGAGGAAGAAGGACGGUGCAAGUGAGCUCUCAGCCCUGCACCUGCUCAGCUGGCUUCACUUCAUUCCUGCUCUGUGCCCAGGAAACUGGGGAUCUCCAGGAGAAUCCUGUCCUCUGCUC